GGGGGCCCGCAAGCGGUGGAGCAUGUGGUUCAAUUCGACGCAACGCGAAGAACCUUACCUGGGCUCGAAAUGCAGGAGACCGGGGUAGAAAUAUCCCUUUCUCGCAAGAGACUGCUGUAUAGGUGCUGCAUGGCUGUCGUCAGCUCGUGUCGUGAGAUGUUGGGUUAAGUCCCGCAACGAGCGCAACCCUCAUCCCUAGUUGCCACCGGGUAAUGCCGAGCACUCUAGUGAAACCGCCCCGGAUAACGGGGAGGAAGGUGGGGAUGACGUCAAGUCCUCAUGGCCUUUAUGUCCAGGGCUACACACGUGCUACAAUGGUCGGUACAAACCGUCGCAAAGCUGCAAAGUGGAGCUAAUCGGAAAAAGCCGGCCUCAGUUCGGAUUGGAGUCUGCAACUCGACUCCAUGAAGCUGGAAUCGCUAGUAAUCGCAGAUCAGAACGCUGCGGUGAAUACGUUCCCGGGCCUUGUACACACC
Molecule: ribosomal RNA, 476 nt
Filed under: uncultured bacterium
Lineage: Bacteria
Description: bacterial SSU rRNA
Rfam family: Bacterial small subunit ribosomal RNA
Source: RNAcentral